ACAAACACAAACACACACCCCAACACACACGCCCUGUCCCCUUUCUCCACCCUGCAAGCUAGUUGCAUUUAGCUCACAGAGCCUGGGCUGCGACUUGAAAGAGUUUAGGCAGCAACAGAGUGACCCUGGGGGUGCUCUUGACCGACAGCCGCACCCCCGGCGUCUAGGACCUCCGAGCAGGGAUGCAUCUGGAGGUCUAGGGAAGCACUUCCACCCCCUCCUCUCCUCAAUCCUGGCAGGAUGUGCCCGAAAUGCCAGCUCCUCCUUGGUGUUCUCCUUUCAGGAUUUGAAUUCAAAUCCCAUUGGCAGCCCUGAUACCGCUGGGGGAAGGGUGAGGCUACUGCUGCUUCAAGACAGUGACGUUUCUCUCCGGUCAGCUGUCAGGAGCGCUGGUGAGCUUCCUACUGUGCCACAAGCUGGGUCUUACUGGGGAUCUGGCCAGCCUUGGGGGCCCUUGGAGCCCUGGCCCAGUGGAAGCUCGUGCCUGAGGAACAUGGAGGCCACGCUAAUGAGUUACUUCCAGAGUCUUCAAGAGUGCCAACUGGGACCAGGACCCCAGACCACAGCCCCCCACACCGUCCUGGACCUGGAUUCUGACUGUGGUUCCACUGUACCCCUCACCUUAAUCUCUGGUUCUAACCAGACCUGAGCCUAGACUUCCACUUUUUCCCUUACCCCUGUGAGGGCCUGGGAACACUAGGUGGGCAGGGUUUGAGCCCACAGGACCUGCACACAAACUUCCCCACCUCUUGGACUUGGGGACAGGAUCUGUGCCUCAACCCAGACCAGCUUUGUAGGGAUAUGUUCCAAGAACAGAGAAGAGUCUUAUGGGGAAGGGGGAGGAAGGGAAGUAUGAAUAUUUACCUCUGACCAAUAAUAGAGGUGCCCUGGUCCCCAAAGAAAUUGACUCCCGAAUUCCCUCCAAGCCUUACCCAUAUAGCUUUUGUUUGUUUGUUUGUUUUCAGACAAGGUCUUGUUCUGUCCAGUGCCGUGGCGUGACCACAGCUCAUGACAACUUUGAUUUCCCCGGCCCAAGCGAGCCUCUCAUUCAGCCUCCUGAGUGGCUGGGACCACAGACGCCACACACAGCUAAUUUUUAUGUAUUCGUUUUUAUUUUUUUGCAGAGACAGGGUCUCCCUAUGUUGCCCAAGCUGGUCUUGAACUCCUGGGCUCAAGUGAUCCUCCUGCUUCAGCCUCCCAAAGUGCUAGGAUUAUAGCCACCGCACCUCGUCUUGAAAUAGCCUUUUAAAUGUUCACCUCAGCUUGCCUCACAGUGGUAAAAAUAAGCAUUUUUUUGUUUUGUAGGAUCAGGGAGCUUCCAAGGCAUUUGAUACCUUUUUGAUGGGAAGAAGGGCUCUGAGGAGCUCCAAGAUACCCCAACCUCCAGGCCCUUCAUUAGGGGGUAGUUGGGUUUCUGUUUGGCCUUUCCCCCUGGGCCCCAUAGGCUUAAACUACCCCCACCCCCACCUCCGCCUCCUACCUCAGCUGGGAGCACUGUCUUCCAUGGGGCUUCCACUUCUCUCCUCAACCUGGGGAAGACCACAGGGCAGUGCCUGCCUCAGGACCUGCCUUCCCCAAAAGCUGGCUUCUUGCUCCAAGGAGAGAGCAUUGACCCACCUGCCAGAGUCUUGCCUUUUGCCCAAAGGAGCCUGGUCUUCAGGGCUGCAUAGGAUGCAAGUGCCUUCUCUGCUUCUCACCGUGGGUGGCACUAAUUUCCUCCUUAACCAGAACUUUGUUCCAGCCACUGACCCAUUCUAACUCUUCCCCCUCUGACUCUCCUGCGCAGGGUCUGUUCCUGGUUUCCCAGAUGCAUAAAGGAAGACAUAUCCCUCCCCUGGGCAGCAAGGCUACAAUGGGAGGGAGGGAGAACAUGGGAGCAUGUGAAUAAAAUGGCAUUAAAUACUG
Molecule: long non-coding RNA, 1905 nt
Filed under: Homo sapiens (human)
Lineage: Eukaryota; Metazoa; Chordata; Mammalia; Primates; Hominidae
Description: lncAB148.1
Source: RNAcentral